This 436-nucleotide ribosomal RNA is filed under the name uncultured Alphaproteobacteria bacterium. RNAcentral describes it as "bacterial SSU rRNA". It matches the Rfam family "Bacterial small subunit ribosomal RNA", at positions 29 to 510 of the family's 1533-position model. Lineage: Bacteria; Pseudomonadati; Pseudomonadota; Alphaproteobacteria. The record is from RNAcentral.
AACGAACGCUGGCGGCAGGCCUAACACAUGCAAGUCGAACGCCCUCUUCGGAGGGAGUGGCAGACGGGUGGGUAACGCGUGGGAACCUACCCAAGGGUACGGAACAACUCAGGGAAACUUGAGCUAAUACCGUAUACGUCCUUAGGGAGAAAGAUUUAUCGCCCCUGGAUGGGCCCGCGUUGGAUUAGCUAGUUGGUGGGGUAAUGGCCUACCAAGGCGACGAUCCAUAGCUGGUCUGAGAGGAUGAUCAGCCACACUGGGACUGAGACACGGCCCAGACUCCUACGGGAGGCAGCAGUGGGGAAUAUUGGACAAUGGGCGCAAGCCUGAUCCAGCCAUGCCGCGUGAGUGAUGAAGGCCCUAGGGUUGUAAAACUCUUUCAGUGGUGAAGAUAAUGACGGUAACCACAGAAGAAGCUCCGGCUAACUCCGUGCCA